CCUACGGGAGGCAGCAGUGGGGAAUAUUGGACAAUGGGCGAAAGCCUGAUCCAGCAAUGCCGCGUGAGUGAUGAAGGCCUUAGGGUUGUAAAGCUCUUUUACCAGGGAUGAUAAUGACAGUACCUGGAGAAUAAGCUCCGGCUAACUCCGUGCCAGCAGCCGCGGUAAUACGGAGGGAGCUAGCGUUGUUCGGAAUUACUGGGCGUAAAGAGUACGUAGGCGGUUAUUCAAGUCAGAGGUGAAAGCCCGGGGCUCAACCCCGGAACUGCCUUUGAAACUAGAUAGCUAGAAUCUUGGAGAGGUCAGUGGAAUUCCGAGUGUAGAGGUGAAAUUCGUAGAUAUUCGGAAGAACACCAGUGGCGAAGGCGACUGACUGGACAAGUAUUGACGCUGAGGUACGAAAGCGUGGGGAGCAAACAGGAUUAGAUACCCUGGUAAGUCCACGCCGUAAACGAUGAUAACUAGUUGUUCGGGCACUUGGUGCCUAGAGUGACGCAGCUAACGCAUUAAGUUAUCCGCCUGGGGAAUACGGUCGCAAGAUUAAAACUCAAAUNAUAGAGCGNGAGACGNGCGACGACGACACGAGGAGAG
Molecule: ribosomal RNA, 591 nt
Filed under: uncultured bacterium
Lineage: Bacteria
Description: bacterial SSU rRNA
Rfam family: Bacterial small subunit ribosomal RNA
Source: RNAcentral